GGAGUACGACCGCAAGGUUGAAACUCAAAGGAAUUGACGGGGGCCCGCACAAGCAGUGGAGUAUGUGGUUUAAUUCGAAGCAACGCGAAGAACCUUACCAGGUCUUGACAUCGGAUGCAUACCUAAGAGAUUAGGGAAGUCCUUCGGGACAUCCAGACAGGUGGUGCAUGGUUGUCGUCAGCUCGUGUCGUGAGAUGUUGGGUUAAGUCCCGCAACGAGCGCAACCCUUAUCGUUAGUUACUACGCAAGAGGACUCUAGCGAGACUGCCGUUGACAAAACGGAGGAAGGUGGGGAUGACGUCAAAUCAUCAUGCCCUUUAUGACCUGGGCUACACACGUACUACAAUGGCUAUUAACAGAGAGAAGCGAUACCGCGAGGUGGAGCAAACCUCACAAAAAUAGUCUCAGUUCGGAUCGCAGGCUGCAACCCGCCUGCGUGAAGCCGGAAUUGCUAGUAAUCGCGGAUCAGCAUGCCGCGGUGAAUACGUUCCCGGGCCUUGUACACACCGCCCGUCACACCAUGAGAGCCGGGGGGACCCGAAGUCGGUAGUCUAACCGUAAGGAGGACGCCGCCGAAGGUAAAACUGGUGAUUGGGGUG
RNAcentral lists this ribosomal RNA (599 nucleotides) under uncultured bacterium. RNAcentral's name for it is "bacterial SSU rRNA". It matches the Rfam family "Bacterial small subunit ribosomal RNA", at positions 877 to 1482 of the family's 1533-position model. The record is from RNAcentral.